This is a small nuclear RNA of Arvicanthis niloticus (Nile rat), 65 nucleotides long. RefSeq annotates it as U7 small nuclear RNA. The record is from RefSeq and is a predicted model, not a curated record. NCBI's taxonomy places the organism in Eukaryota, Metazoa, Chordata, Mammalia, Rodentia, Muridae.
GAGUGAACACAGCUGUUUUCAAUUUUUUUUCUAGCAGCUUUUCUGACUUUGGUCAGAAAAGCCAU